GUGCUGGCUUUGGCAGCUCAUAUACUAAAAUCAGAGGGAUACAGAGAAGAUUAGCAUGGCCCCUGCACUAGAACCUUACACAAAUUCAUGAAGCAUUCCAUAUUUUU
RNAcentral lists this small nuclear RNA (107 nucleotides) under Myotis davidii. Lineage: Eukaryota; Metazoa; Chordata; Mammalia; Chiroptera; Vespertilionidae. The record is from RNAcentral.